AGAGUUUGAUCCUGGCUCAGAACGAACGCUGGCGGCAGGCCUAACACAUGCAAGUCGGACGAAGCCCUCGGGCUUAGUGGCGGACGGGUUAGUAACGCGUGGGAACGUACCCUUUUCUACGGAAUAGCCUUUGGAAACGAAGAGUAAUACCGUAUACGCCCUUCGGGGGAAAGAUUUAUCGGAGAAGGAUCGGCCCGCGUUAGAUUAGAUAGUUGGUGGGGUAAUGGCCUACCAAGUCUACGAUCUAUAGCUGGUUUUAGAGGAUGAUCAGCAACACUGGGACUGAGACACGGCCCAGACUCCUACGGGAGGCAGCAGUGGGGAAUCUUAGACAAUGGGCGCAAGCCUGAUCUAGCCAUGCCGCGUGAGUGAAGAAGGCCUUAGGGUCGUAAAGCUCUUUCGCCUGUGAUGAUAAUGACAGUAGCAGGUAAAGAAACCCCGGCUAACUCCGUGCCAGCAGCCGCGGUAAUACGGAGGGGGUUAGCGUUGUUCGGAAUUACUGGGCGUAAAGCGCACGUAGGCGGAUUGGAAAGUUAGAGGUGAAAUCCCAGGGCUCAACCCUGGAACUGCCUUUAAAACUCCCAGUCUUGAGUUCGAGAGAGGUGAGUGGAAUUCCAAGUGUAGAGGUGAAAUUCGUAGAUAUUUGGAGGAACACCAGUGGCGAAGGCGGCUCACUGGCUCGAUACUGACGCUGAGGUGCGAAAGUGUGGGGAGCAAACAGGAUUAGAUACCCUGGUAGUCCACACCGUAAACGAUGAAUGCCAGUCGUCGGGUAGUAUACUAUUCGGUGACACACCUAACGGAUUAAGCAUUCCGCCUGGGGAGUACGGUCGCA
RNAcentral lists this ribosomal RNA (835 nucleotides) under uncultured bacterium. RNAcentral describes it as "bacterial SSU rRNA". It matches the Rfam family "Bacterial small subunit ribosomal RNA", at positions 8 to 890 of the family's 1533-position model. The record is from RNAcentral.